AACGAACGCUGGCGGCAUGCCUAACACAUGCAAGUCGAACGAGACCUUCGGGUCUAGUGGCGCACGGGUGCGUAACGCGUGGGAAUCUACCCUCAGGUUCGGAAUAACUCAGAGAAAUUUGAGCUAAUACCGGAUGAUGACGUAAGUCCAAAGAUUUAUCGCCUGAGGAUGAGCCCGCGUAGGAUUAGGUAGUUGGUGAGGUAAAGGCUCACCAAGCCGACGAUCCUUAGCUGGUCUGAGAGGAUGAUCAGCCACACUGGGACUGAGACACGGCCCAGACUCCUACGGGAGGCAGCAGUGGGGAAUAUUGGACAAUGGGCAAAAGCCUGAUCCAGCAAUGCCGCGUGAGUGAUGAAGGCCUUAGGGUUGUAAAGCUCUUUUACCCGGGAUGAUAAUGACAGUACCGGGAGAAUAAGCUCCGGCUAACUCCGUG
RNAcentral lists this ribosomal RNA (433 nucleotides) under uncultured bacterium. RNAcentral describes it as "partial 16S ribosomal RNA". It matches the Rfam family "Bacterial small subunit ribosomal RNA", at positions 29 to 507 of the family's 1533-position model. The record is from RNAcentral.